GGACUCACUUUGCAGGACCUCUAUUCAUUUCAGAAAAAUGCAGAGGAGAUUAGCAUGGCCCCAGUAUGAGGUAACAAACAAAUUAGUGAAGCAUUCCUUAUUUGA
This is a small nuclear RNA of Mustela lutreola (European mink), 105 nucleotides long. NCBI's taxonomy places the organism in Eukaryota, Metazoa, Chordata, Mammalia, Carnivora, Mustelidae. The record is from RefSeq and is a predicted model, not a curated record.